Helianthus annuus (common sunflower) is the source of this 209-nucleotide long non-coding RNA. RefSeq lists it as uncharacterized. Lineage: Eukaryota; Viridiplantae; Streptophyta; Magnoliopsida; Asterales; Asteraceae. The transcript is spliced from 3 exons. The record is from RefSeq and is a predicted model, not a curated record.
GUGAUUGCGAGGCUGUUGACAUUACCCCUAUUCAUCGAUACAAGAUACCUCUAAGGGUUCAGGAUUCGACAGGGACUGUGUCUUGUACGUUGUUUGAUUAUGAAGCUAUUAAGCUUUUUAAGAAAACCGCCAAACAACUCCUGGAUGUUUAUACAAAGGUUGACAGUUCGAUUGAAGGAGGCUUUGAAGCACUUCCAGAUGAGUUUGAU